RNAcentral lists this non-coding RNA (24 nucleotides) under Arabidopsis thaliana (thale cress). The record is from RNAcentral. Lineage: Eukaryota; Viridiplantae; Streptophyta; Magnoliopsida; Brassicales; Brassicaceae.
AAGAUCGAGUUGCGGUUUAAGUUG